GGGGCCUACGGGAGGCAGCAGUGGGGAAUAUUGCACAAUGGGGGAAACCCUGAUGCAGCGACGCCGCUUGCGUGCUGCCGUAUUUCGGUAUGUAAAGCUCUAUCAGCAGGGAAGAUAAUGACGGUACCUGACUAAGAAGCUCCGGCUAAAUACGUGCCAGCAGCCGCGGUAAUACGUAUGGAGCAAGCGUUAUCCGGAUUUACUGGGUGUAAAGGGAGCGCAGACGGCAGGGCAAGUCUGAUGUGAAAGUCCGGGGCUCAACCCCGGGACUGCAUUGGAAACUGUCCGGCUAGAGUGCAGGAGAG
This 305-nucleotide ribosomal RNA is filed under the name uncultured bacterium. RNAcentral's name for it is "bacterial SSU rRNA". It matches the Rfam family "Bacterial small subunit ribosomal RNA", at positions 334 to 656 of the family's 1533-position model. The record is from RNAcentral.